Molecule: ribosomal RNA, 496 nt
Filed under: uncultured bacterium
Lineage: Bacteria
Description: partial 16S ribosomal RNA
Rfam family: Bacterial small subunit ribosomal RNA
Source: RNAcentral
AUGAACGCUGGCGGCGUGCCUAAUACAUGCAAGUCGAGCGAACAGACGAGGAGCUUGCUCCUCUGACGUUAGCGGCGGACGGGUGAGUAACACGUUGAUAACCUACCUAUAAGACUGGGAUAACUUCGGGAAACCGGAGCUAAUACCGGAUAAUAUAUUGAACCGCAUGGUUCAAUAGUGAAAGACGGUUUUGCUGUCACUUAUAGAUGGAUCCGCGCCGCAUUAGCUAGUUGGUAAGGUAACGGCUUACCAAGGCAACGAUGCGUAGCCGACCUGAGAGGGUGAUCGGCCACACUGGAACUGAGACACGGUCCAGACUCCUACGGGAGGCAGCAGUAGGGAAUCUUCCGCAAUGGGCGAAAGCCUGACGGAGCAACGCCGCGUGAGUGAUGAAGGCCUUCGGAUCGUAAAACUCUGUUAUUAGGGAAGAACAAAUGUGUAAGUAACUAUGCACGUCUUGACGGUACCUAAUCAGAAAGCCACGGCUAACUACGUG